Molecule: long non-coding RNA, 254 nt
Organism: Pongo pygmaeus (Bornean orangutan)
Lineage: Eukaryota; Metazoa; Chordata; Mammalia; Primates; Hominidae
Exons: 3
Source: RefSeq, a predicted model, not a curated record
CAUAGGGGAAGGGGCAAACAGCAACCUCUUGGGCUGGAGUCUUGGGCUAGAAAAGAUCACUGAUUACCCACCUGUUCCCCCUGGAUACUAGGGCUUCAACCCAGAAGGUGCUGUGAUGAAGUGGCUUCAGCAAAAGAUUACCUGAGACAUCCUGAUCCGUUAUGAGAAUGGCAGCAGCGAGAUUUGGCCUGGGGACGGAGCAAAGUGACCCCCUGCUGUAGAGCAAGGGAGAAGGGAAUUUUAAAGAAGAGAUU